This 490-nucleotide ribosomal RNA is filed under the name uncultured bacterium. Its description in RNAcentral is "partial 16S ribosomal RNA". It matches the Rfam family "Bacterial small subunit ribosomal RNA", at positions 29 to 505 of the family's 1533-position model. The record is from RNAcentral.
AGUGAACGCUGGCGGUAGGCCUAACACAUGCAAGUCGAACGGCAGCACAGUAAGAGCUUGCUCUUACGGGUGGCGACUGGCGGACGGGUGAGGAAUACAUCGGAAUCUACUUUUUCGUGGGGGCUAACGUAGGGAAACUUACGCUAAUACCGCAUACGACCUACGGGUGAAAGCAGGGGAUCUUCGGACCUUGCGCGAGUGGAUGAGCCGAUGUCGGAUUAGCUGGGUGGCGGGGUAAAGGCCCACCAAGGCGACGAUCCGUAGCUGGUCUGAGAGGAUGAUCAGCCACACUGGAACUGAGACACGCGCCAGACUCCUACGGGAGGCAGCAGUGGGGAAUUGUGGACAAUGGGCGCAGGCCUGAUCCAGCCAUACCGCGUGGGUGGAGAAGGCCUUCGGGUUGUAAAGCCCUUUUGUUGGGAAAGAAAAGCAGCAGGUUAAUACCCCGCUGUUCUGACGGUACACAAAGAAUAAGCACCGGCUCACCUCG